This 318-nucleotide long non-coding RNA is filed under the name Spirodela polyrhiza (greater duckweed). RNAcentral's name for it is "long non-coding RNA (SPOL_LNC001300)". Lineage: Eukaryota; Viridiplantae; Streptophyta; Magnoliopsida; Alismatales; Araceae. The record is from RNAcentral.
CCCGGCAGUGGGGCGGCUUCGCGGGUCACAUCUCCGGCGAAUCGCCGGGCCACCGCGGCGGAGUGAAAAAGAAGCCAUCCGGGUGAAAUGCCUGAGAACUGAAUAAGCAAAAGGAAGCGGAGCAGCGGGUCGUGGUUUGAUUUGGAACAGACCAUGUGAGGCGACCAGGAGCGCCACCACCUCUCGGGGCCCCGCCGCCUCUGCGGCUCCCCCUGCGAACGGGAGAGACGACGAAGAUGCCCGUCGCUGUCGCGCAGGUUCGAUUUUUCCACGGUUUUUAAUUAGUUUUUGGGUUUUGCUGAACUGUACGGUCGCGAU